GAUGAACGCUGGCGGCGUGCCUAAUACAUGCAAGUCGAGCGAACAGACGAGGAGCUUGCUCCUCUGACGUUAUCGGCGGACGGGUGAGUAACACGUGGAUAACCUACCUAUAAGACUGGGAUAACUUCGGGAAACCGGAGCUAAUACCGGAUAAUAUAUUGAACCGCAUGGUUCAAUAGUGAAAGACGGUUUUGCUGUCACUUAUAGAUGGAUCCGCGCCGCAUUAGCUAGUUGGUAAGGUAACGGCUUACCAAGGCGACGAUGCGUAGCCGACCUGAGAGGGUGAUCGGCCACACUGGAACUGAGACACGGUCCAGACUCCUACGGGAGGCAGCAGUAGGGAAUCUUCCGCAAUGGGCGAAAGCCUGACGGAGCAACGCCGCGUGAGUGAUGAAGGUCUUCGGAUCGUAAAACUCUGUUAGUAGGGAAGAACAAAUGUGUAAGUAACUAUGCACGUCUUGACGGUACCUAAUCAGAAAGCCACGGCUAACUACGUG
This 497-nucleotide ribosomal RNA is filed under the name uncultured bacterium. Its description in RNAcentral is "partial 16S ribosomal RNA". It matches the Rfam family "Bacterial small subunit ribosomal RNA", at positions 28 to 507 of the family's 1533-position model. The record is from RNAcentral.